RNAcentral lists this ribosomal RNA (114 nucleotides) under Aliivibrio sp. SR45-2. The record is from RNAcentral. Lineage: Bacteria; Pseudomonadati; Pseudomonadota; Gammaproteobacteria; Vibrionales; Vibrionaceae.
UGGCGACCAUAGCGUUAUGGACCCACCUGAUCCCAUGCCGAACUCAGAAGUGAAACGUAAUAGCGCCGAUGGUAGUGUGGGGUCUCCCCAUGUGAGAGUAGGACAUCGCCAGGC